This 465-nucleotide ribosomal RNA is filed under the name uncultured bacterium. RNAcentral's name for it is "bacterial SSU rRNA". It matches the Rfam family "Bacterial small subunit ribosomal RNA", at positions 770 to 1235 of the family's 1533-position model. The record is from RNAcentral.
ACCCAAUAGAUACCCUGGUAGUCCACGCCCUAAACUAUGUCGACUGGUUGUUGGGGGUUUGACACUCUCAGUAAACGAAAGCUAAACGCGUGAAGUCGACCGCCUGGGGAGUACGGCCGCAAGGUUAAAACUCAAAGGAAUUGACGGGGACCCGCACAAGCGGUGGAUUAUGUGGAUUAAUUCGAUGCAACGCGAAAAACCUUACCUACCCUUGACAUGUCCUGAAGCCUGGAGAGAUCCGGGUGUGCCCGAAAGGGAACGGGAACACAGGUGCUGCAUGGCUGUCGUCAGCUCGUGUCGUGAGAUGUUGGGUUAAGUCCCGCAACGAGCGCAACCCUUGUCAUUAGUUGCUACAUUCAGUUGGGCACUCUAAUGAGACUGCCGGUGACAAACCGGAGGAAGGUGGGGAUGACGUCAAGUCCUCAUGGCCCUUAUGGGUAGGGCUUCACACGUAAUACAAUGGCG